GCGUAACGCGUGGGAAUCUGCCCAAUGGUCUGGGAUAACCGCGGGAAACUGCGGCUAAUACCGGAUAAGCCCGAGAGGGGAAAGAUUUAUCGCCGAUGGAGGGGCCCGCGUCCGAUUAGGUAGUUGGUGAGGUAACGGCUCACCAAGCCGACGAUCGGUAGCUGGUCUGAGAGGACGAUCAGCCACACUGGGACUGAGAUACGGCCCAGACUCCUACGGGAGGCAGCAGUGGGGAAUAUUGGACAAUGGGGGCAACCCUGAUCCAGCAAUGCCGCGUGAGUGAUGAAGGCCUUAGGGUUGUAA
This 303-nucleotide ribosomal RNA is filed under the name uncultured Rhodospirillaceae bacterium. Its description in RNAcentral is "bacterial SSU rRNA". It matches the Rfam family "Bacterial small subunit ribosomal RNA", at positions 108 to 428 of the family's 1533-position model. Lineage: Bacteria; Pseudomonadati; Pseudomonadota; Alphaproteobacteria; Rhodospirillales; Rhodospirillaceae. The record is from RNAcentral.